CCUACGGGAGGCAGCAGUGGGGGAUAUUGCACAAUGGGGGGAACCCUGAUGCAGCGACGCCGCGUGGGUGAAGGAGUGUUUCGGUAUGUAAAGCUCUAUCGGCAGGGAAGAAGAUGACGGUACCUGACUAAGAAGCCCCGGCUAACUACGUGCCAGCAGCCGCGGUAAUACGUAGGGGGCAAGCGUUAUCCGGAUUUACUGGGUGUAAAGGGGGCGUAGACGGUGCAGCAAGUCAGAUGUGAAAGGUCGGGGCCCAACCCCGGGACUGCAUUGGAAACUGUUUGACUGGAGUACAGGAGAGGCAGGCGGAAUUCCUAGUGUAGCGGUGAAAUGCGUAGAUAUUAGGAGGAACACCAGUGGCGAAGGCGGCCUACUGGACUGUAACUGACGUUGAGGCCCGAAAGCGUGGGGAGCAAACAGGAUUAGAUACCCCGGUAGUC
RNAcentral lists this ribosomal RNA (440 nucleotides) under uncultured bacterium. Its description in RNAcentral is "partial 16S ribosomal RNA". It matches the Rfam family "Bacterial small subunit ribosomal RNA", at positions 338 to 795 of the family's 1533-position model. The record is from RNAcentral.